UACGUAGGGCGCAAGCGUUAUCCGGAAUUAUUGGGCGUAAAGAGCUCGUAGGCGGUUUGUCGCGUCUGCCGUGAAAGUCCGGGGCUCAACUCCGGAUCUGCGGUGGGUACGGGCAGACUAGAGUGGUUGCAGGGGAGACUGGAAUUCCUGGUGUAGCGGUGAAAUGCGCAGAUAUCAGGAGGAACACCGAUGGCGAAGGCAGGUCUCUGGGCCACUACUGACGCUGGAGAAGCGGAAAGCAUCGGGGAGCGAACAGG
This 257-nucleotide ribosomal RNA is filed under the name uncultured bacterium. Its description in RNAcentral is "partial 16S ribosomal RNA". It matches the Rfam family "Bacterial small subunit ribosomal RNA", at positions 524 to 776 of the family's 1533-position model. The record is from RNAcentral.